RNAcentral lists this ribosomal RNA (390 nucleotides) under uncultured bacterium. RNAcentral's name for it is "bacterial SSU rRNA". It matches the Rfam family "Bacterial small subunit ribosomal RNA", at positions 971 to 1425 of the family's 1533-position model. The record is from RNAcentral.
UUACCGGCUUGACAUGACUGAAAGCUUCGCACAGGUGCUGCAUGGCUGUCGUCAGCUCGUGUCGUGAGAUGUUGCGUUAAGUCGCGCAACGAGCGCAACCCUGUCUUAGUUGCCAUCAUAUGGGACUCUAGGAGACAAACCCUCUUUGGGGUGGGAAGGUGGGGAUGACGUCAAGUCAGGAUGGCCCUUACGCCGGGCUGCACACGUGCUACAAUGCGGUACAAGGGGCACCGCGAGGGGAGCAAUCCUAAACCAGCCCAGUUCAGAUUGAAGUCUGCAACUCGACUUCAUGAAGCCGGAAUCGCUAGUAAUGGCGAUCAGCACGCGCCGUGAAUACGUUCCCGGGCCUUGUACACACCGCCCGUCACGUCAUGAAAGCCGGUUGCCGAA